This 591-nucleotide long non-coding RNA is filed under the name Homo sapiens (human). RNAcentral describes it as "HSALNT0367989". The record is from RNAcentral. Lineage: Eukaryota; Metazoa; Chordata; Mammalia; Primates; Hominidae.
CUCUGGGGCAGCGGCCCCGAGGCGAACCUCGGGGCCCAGUGGAGGGACCCAGGGAAGGGGCACUCUCCCUGCCGCCCCCACAACCCCCCGCCCUACUCUCUGGGAGCCCCUCCCCCGCACCUGCCAACUUGCAGCCUCACCCCCAGGCAUCUUUUACCCAAAGGGCUGUGCUUCUCUGCUGGGGGUUGGAGGGGCUACUGGGGUGCAUUGCUAAGUGCACGAACUGAGAAACUGGGUCUUUAGUUAUUUCCAGCACGGAGCAGCUGCCCAAGUUACCUGGGAGAUGGGAAAAUCGUGUGAAAGCUGGUUAACCCUUUGAGGAUUAGAGUAAUGGUGGAAGCAGAAAGGAGAAGGAGUUUCACUCCAGGAUGUACGUAGGACCAGCCCUCCCUGCAGUCCUGUCCUUCAAGACUCAAGUCUUGUCCACUCCAAAUCACCACUGGGAUUCCUAAGUCCAGGACAGAGCUUCAGGCAAGGAAAAGAAGAGUUGGGAAAGCCAGUUUCCAACAUUUAUCAGCCACGUGUACCUGCAAACUAUAUACCUUGGGUAAAUCAUCAAUCUCUUGAAAUGGGAAUAAAACCAUCUGCCUU